Long non-coding RNA from Amblyraja radiata (thorny skate), 152 nucleotides. RefSeq lists it as uncharacterized. The transcript is spliced from 3 exons. NCBI's taxonomy places the organism in Eukaryota, Metazoa, Chordata, Chondrichthyes, Rajiformes, Rajidae. The record is from RefSeq and is a predicted model, not a curated record.
AUUGUUUUGAAGGCACAAGUCGUAGCAGGUCGCCGAAAAACCGGCAACUGAACCCUCCCUACGAUAAUGUCUAUGACAAUGUUUACAACAACCUACCAUCUACUCGACGUCAAGCUACAGCAAGCUACCGACAACCGGCGACCCAUUAGGAC